This 433-nucleotide ribosomal RNA is filed under the name uncultured bacterium. Its description in RNAcentral is "partial 16S ribosomal RNA". It matches the Rfam family "Bacterial small subunit ribosomal RNA", at positions 29 to 507 of the family's 1533-position model. The record is from RNAcentral.
AGCGAACGCUGGCGGCAGGCCUAACACAUGCAAGUCGAACGGACCCUUCGGGGUUAGUGGCGGACGGGUGAGUAACACGUGGGAACGUGCCUUUAGGUUCGGAAUAGCUCCUGGAAACGGGUGGUAAUGCCGAAUGGGCCCUUCGGGGGAAAGAUUUAUCGCCUUUAGAGCGGCCCGCGUCUGAUUAGCUGGUUGGUGAGGUAACGGCUCACCAAGGCGACGAUCAGUAGCUGGUCUGAGAGGAUGACCAGCCACACUGGGACUGAGACACGGCCCAGACUCCUACGGGAGGCAGCAGUAGGGAGUCUUGCGCAAUGGGCGAAAGCCUGACGCAGCCGUGCCGCGUGAAUGAUGAAGGUCUUAGGAUUGUAAAAUUCUUUCACCGGGGACGAUAAUGACGGUACCCGGAGAAGAAGCCCCGGCUAACUUCGUG